This 254-nucleotide ribosomal RNA is filed under the name uncultured Armatimonadota bacterium. RNAcentral's name for it is "uncultured Armatimonadetes bacterium partial 16S ribosomal RNA". It matches the Rfam family "Bacterial small subunit ribosomal RNA", at positions 524 to 776 of the family's 1533-position model. Lineage: Bacteria; Bacillati; Armatimonadota. The record is from RNAcentral.
GACGUAGGGAGCAAGCGUUGUCCGGAUUUACUGGGCGUAAAGAGUACGUAGGCGGCUUGUUAAGUGUGGUGUGAAAUCUCCAGGGCUCAACCCGGAAACCGCACCGCAUACUGGCUAGCUAGAGGAAUGCAGAGGUUUGUGGAAUUCCUGGUGUAGCGGUGAAAUGCGUUGAUAUCAGGAGGAACACCCAUGGCGAAGGCAGCAAACUGGGCAUUUCCUGACGCUGAGGUGCGAAAGCGUGGGUAGCAAACAGG